AUAGCUGUUUAGGUUUCCUUAAUCUUCAAGAAUAGUCACAAAUAUCAUAAGGCAAAGUUCAUUGUUUUAGGGUUUUUUAAAAAUGUGUUGUACCUAAGGCCAUACUUACUCUUCUAUGCUAUCACUGCGAAGGAGUGAUAUGUAUGUAUUAUAUGAAAAAAAAUCCUUAAUGCACUGUUAUCUCCUUUGUACGACUUUAGACAUGACUGUGUAUGCUUUGCCACGCCCUGUGAGGUGUGCAUUGAAAGCCGGCUGCCCCCAGCGGGGCCUGCUCCCCGGGUGCAGGACAAGCUUGCAGCUUUGGAGCCAAGUGUUUCUCGCUUUUGAGUUUUCCUGACAUCCUUCUUGAAAUGACUGUUAGAAAUGAAUUACAUUGCAUUUAUUUUAUAUUCUUGGUUGUAAUAAAAUUUAAUUGACUUUGUG
RNAcentral lists this long non-coding RNA (423 nucleotides) under Bos taurus (domestic cattle). RNAcentral describes it as "long non-coding RNA NONBTAT025358". The record is from RNAcentral. Lineage: Eukaryota; Metazoa; Chordata; Mammalia; Artiodactyla; Bovidae.